Molecule: ribosomal RNA, 301 nt
Filed under: uncultured bacterium
Lineage: Bacteria
Description: partial 16S ribosomal RNA
Rfam family: Bacterial small subunit ribosomal RNA
Source: RNAcentral
CAGUAGCCGCGGUAAUACGUAGGGUGCGAGCGUUAAUCGGAAUUACUGGGCGUAAAGGGCGCGUAGGUGGUUAUGUAAGUGAGAUGUGAAAUCCCCGGGCUCAACCUGGGAACUGCAUCUUAUACUGCGUAGCUGGAGUGCAGUAGAGGGUAGUGGAAUUUCCGGUGUAGCGGUGAAAUGCGUAGAUAUCGGAAGGAACACCAGUGGCGAAGGCGGCUACCUGGACUGACACUGACACUGAGGCGCGAAAGCGUGGGGAGCAAACAGGAUUAGAUACCCCUGUAGUCCCUGUCUCUUAUAC